CCAAUGGAUGGCUAGGGUUCCGAUCGCAUCACCUACUCACCCCGAUGCGAUGACUGGUCCGAGAGCCAUCGACCCGCCGCACUGAACGAGUAUGGCUGACGACGGGUUACACGGCGGGAGAAAAGCCCGGGAGGA
Molecule: small RNA, 135 nt
Filed under: Halomonadaceae bacterium
Lineage: Bacteria; Pseudomonadati; Pseudomonadota; Gammaproteobacteria; Oceanospirillales; Halomonadaceae
Description: Guanidine-I sequence
Rfam family: Guanidine-I riboswitch aptamer
About the family: This family represents a conserved RNA structure found upstream of the ykkC and yxkD genes in Bacillus subtilis and related genes in other bacteria. The function of this family is unclear although it has been suggested that it may function to switch on efflux pumps and detoxification systems in response to harmful environmental molecules. Nelson showed that this riboswitch senses and responds to guanidine and it was renamed Guanidine-I riboswitch.
Source: RNAcentral